UUUCAAACACACCUACAGAUGCUACAGACAGACAGUUAGACUGCAACAUUCAAAGGAGAAUCUUCAAUAAAAAUAAUCCACUAACCAGUGUCCUGCAAGACUUAUAAUGAGGCUAUAAGGAAGAAGUAUUCCUACUUGCAUCCUGGAAAGGUAGAGCUGAGACAAUCAAGACUGUGGCAAAGAGAGAGAAGAUAGCUGAAGACCAGGUCAGCAGAGACAAGCACAGGAGGAUUGUGUGGAUUAUUGUGUAUUGUGUGGACAUGAUGUCUGAUGAAGAAGAUGGUGUUGUCUAUGGGAAGCCAGUGCUGGUUGUAAAACCAGCAGCUUUGAGAAGCUCUAUUCCAGAAGUUACAGAAGAGACUUGAUGCAGACCCACACUGUACUGGGAAAUGAUCACUUUUGUUUGAUGGCAAGUGACAU
Molecule: long non-coding RNA, 420 nt
Organism: Myxocyprinus asiaticus (Chinese sucker)
Lineage: Eukaryota; Metazoa; Chordata; Actinopteri; Cypriniformes; Catostomidae
Exons: 3
Source: RefSeq, a predicted model, not a curated record